RNAcentral lists this long non-coding RNA (1221 nucleotides) under Malus domestica (apple). RNAcentral's name for it is "long non-coding RNA (MDOM_LNC008467)". Lineage: Eukaryota; Viridiplantae; Streptophyta; Magnoliopsida; Rosales; Rosaceae. The record is from RNAcentral.
UGGAUACUAUAUUGGAAUUUGAAUUAAACAUCUUUUAUGUUUUGUUAGUUUUCUAGAAUGAUGAAGAUUUUGAAAAAAAAGAAAAGAGCAUAGAUGGAGGUGAGAGAUAAUGUUUCUAAAAUGAUAAAAUCUUACGCUCUACAUGACAAGUGUUGCAGGGGAGAGUAUAUAUAAUCACAUGAUUCAAUGCAUCACAUUUAGAGUCACCAAAGUGAACAUGACGCUUGGCAUUACAUGAACUUUAGAUCCUUAUAUCUUGGAGGUAUAAUCCAAGCCAUACAUGUGUCAUGUUGACUAUUCUCAAAUAAACAAAAUGAAUAAUUAGAUAGGCAGCAAACCUAGUACCUAUUAACUUAGAGUCCAAGUUACCAGUAAACCAAUUUACAUUCUGUUUGGGCAAGAAUUUCCCUGGAGAAAGCGCCUGGCUCGAACACACAGCUCCUCGAGAGUUGCCACUUAGGUUGGUUUUCGGGCUUCUAAUUGUUGAGGGGCUGCAAGAGGAGGAUAAAGUUAGUUCUAAAAUGUGCCUUUGUAUGGCCUUAGGUAUAGGCCUUGAGGCUCACAAUCAAAACUAACUAAAUGCUUAAGCGUGCCACUGCCAUCUUAGUAUGGCAGAUGUAGAACAAGUGUGUUUUAUUCGAUUACUUGCACCCCAAGUUAUUUUGAUUUCCUGCUAUCAAAGGAUUGUCGUAGAUGGGUUAAGUCUACAUUAAGUUCUUUUUUGUGCCUUGAGAUCAAGGACUUUUAUUAUCUUGCAUGCUUUAAAGGUUAGAAGUCAAGAUUUGACUAAGCCAUCAGUCUAGUUCCCGUUCAAUCUUUUAUAGCAGUAAAACUACUAAAUGAACCAAAUCUGAGUGCCAAUGGAACCUUUGAUCAUCAAAUGACUGGAAAUGACUUGAAUAUAUACUAGAGAGUAUCAUAAUACCAGAUAUAGUAAUUGAAAGAUAAAACAAAGAGAGUCAUGCAAGAUUUCAACUUGUCGAGUAAGGGUGAACGUCUUACAGUUUAUUCUCUUUGUGAUUAUAAAGGUUUGUAUGUUAAAAGGGAUAAGUGGUAAACAAGUUUACAUGAUAGAAUUGAUACUACAGCUUUUGGAGAAGGUAGCAGAGCUUUUACACCAGACAAAAAAUGACUUUGUAAGGGAACUAUUGCUAAAAACGAUUUGGAAGGUACAAACUGGCUUGAGAGCAAAGUUUGUAGGCUUGUUUGUUUGAUUGGUUA